UUUCAAGUACAAGUGCUGUUCUUGCGUUCGAGUUUGCGAUUAAUAUGUUGGAGCUUUUCAUUUUUGGCUGGUUGGCGGAAAAUUUGAUUGCUGCGGAAAAUCGUUUUCGGCUCGCAGUUUUGAACCGUCUUGCUGCAGAAUCAUACAUCAAUUCGGCAGACUACACUUCACUUCAGAUAAUUUCCAUCGGCAGCAACAUACAAUAUUCCCUGAAGGCUGGACCUUUUUACAAGUUGUCCAACAAGACGUUCAACGCUAUUAUCGCCGCUUCUUACAGUUACUACAGCUUUCUCAGAAAUGUAAAAACACGUUGAAGAGUGGAAUAUGUAAUCAAUAUUAUUAUUUUACAAUUUCAGCA
Molecule: long non-coding RNA, 358 nt
Organism: Neocloeon triangulifer
Lineage: Eukaryota; Metazoa; Arthropoda; Insecta; Ephemeroptera; Baetidae
Exons: 3
Source: RefSeq, a predicted model, not a curated record